UCCGGUUUGUCACCGGCAGUCUCAUUAGAGUGCCCAACUAAAUGCUGGCAACUAAGGAUAAGGGUUGCGCUCGUUAAGGGACUUAACCCGACAUCUCACGAUACGAGCUGACGACAGCCAUGCAGCACCUAAACUAGAAGUGUAUUGCUACAAGGGACUAUCUCUAAUCCUGUCUUCUAUUGUCUAACCCAGGUAAGGUUUUACGCGUUGCAUCGAAUUAAACCACAUGCUCCACCGCUUGUGCGGGCCCCCGUCAAUUCCUUUGAGUUUUAACCUUGCGGCCGUACUUCCCAGGCGGGGUACUUAAUGCGUUAGCUUCGACACUGUAGGGGUCAAUUCCCACAACAUCUAGUACCCAUCGUUUACGGCGUGGACUAC
This 378-nucleotide unclassified non-coding RNA is filed under the name uncultured Oligoflexales bacterium. RNAcentral describes it as "contains 16S-23S intergenic spacer region". Lineage: Bacteria; Pseudomonadati; Bdellovibrionota; Oligoflexia; Oligoflexales. The record is from RNAcentral.